AGGAUCUAAGCCUUUCCCACGUUAUGGUUAUAAACCCUCCCCACCGAAUGGAUGUGGCUCUCCACUGUUUGGUGUUCAUCUUAACAUUGGUAUCCCUUCCCUGACAAAGUGUUGCAACCAACACGACAGGUGCUAUGAGACCUGUGGCAAAAGCAAGAAUGACUGUGAUGAGGAAUUCCAGUAUUGCCUCUCCAAGAUCUGCCGAGAUGUACAGAAAACACUAGGACUAACUCAGCAUGUUCAGG
Molecule: small RNA, 245 nt
Filed under: Pan troglodytes (chimpanzee)
Lineage: Eukaryota; Metazoa; Chordata; Mammalia; Primates; Hominidae
Description: processed transcript
Source: RNAcentral